This 493-nucleotide ribosomal RNA is filed under the name uncultured bacterium. RNAcentral's name for it is "partial 16S ribosomal RNA". It matches the Rfam family "Bacterial small subunit ribosomal RNA", at positions 30 to 523 of the family's 1533-position model. The record is from RNAcentral.
AUUGAACGCUGGCGGCAUGCCUUACACAUGCAAGUCGAACGGUAACAGGUUAAGCUGACGAGUGGCGAACGGGUGAGUAAUAUAUCGGAACGUGCCCAGUCGUGGGGGAUAACGUAGCGAAAGCUACGCUAAUACCGCAUACGAUCUACGGAUGAAAGCGGGGGAUCGCAAGACCUCGCGCGAUUGGAGCGGCCGAUAUCAGAUUAGGUUGUUGGUGAGGUAAAAGCUCACCAAGCCUGCGAUCUGUAGCUGGUCUGAGAGGACGACCAGCCACACUGGAACUGAGGCACGGUCCAGACUCCUACGGGAGGCGGCAGUGGGGAAUUUUGGACAAUGGACGCAAGUCUGAUCCAGCAAUGCCGCGUGCAGGACGAAGGCCUUCGGGUUGUAAACUGCUUUUGUACGGAACGAAACGGUGAGCUCUAAUACAGUUUGCUAAUGACGGUACCGUAAGAAUAAGCACCGGCUAACUACGUGCCAGCAGCCGCAGUAA